RNAcentral lists this ribosomal RNA (627 nucleotides) under Proteus mirabilis. Its description in RNAcentral is "partial 23S ribosomal RNA". It matches the Rfam family "Bacterial large subunit ribosomal RNA", at positions 588 to 1215 of the family's 2925-position model. The record is from RNAcentral. Lineage: Bacteria; Pseudomonadati; Pseudomonadota; Gammaproteobacteria; Enterobacterales; Morganellaceae.
AUGGGGUGACUGCGUACCUUUUGUAUAAUGGGUCAGCGACUUAUAUUCUGUAGCGAGGUUAACCGUAUAGGGGAGCCGUAGGGAAACCGAGUCUUAACUGGGCGAAUGAGUUGCAGGGUAUAGACCCGAAACCCGGUGAUCUAUCCAUGGGCAGGUUGAAGGUUGGGUAACACUAACUGGAGGACCGAACCGACUAAUGUUGAAAAAUUAGCGGAUGACUUGUGGAUGGGGGUGAAAGGCCAAUCAAACCGGGAGAUAGCUGGUUCUCCCCGAAAGCUAUUUAGGUAGCGCCUCGUGAACUCAUCUUCGGGGGUAGAGCACUGUUUCGACUAGGGGGUCAUCCCGACUUACCAACUCGAUGCAAACUGCGAAUACCGAAGAAUGUUAUCACGGGAGACACACGGCGGGUGCUAACGUCCGUCGUGAAGAGGGAAACAACCCAGACCGCCAGCUAAGGUCCCAAAGUCAUGGUUAAGUGGGAAACGAAGUGGGAAGGCUCAGACAGCCAGGAUGUUGGCUUAGAAGCAGCCAUCAUUUAAAGAAAGCGUAAUAGCUCACUGGUCGAGUCGGCCCGCGCGGAAGAUGUAACGGGGCUAAACCAUGCACCGAAGCUGCGGCAGCGACACA